AUGGCAUUUGCCAACAACUCUUUUCAUUAAUCAAGAACGAAAGUUAGGGGAUCGAAGAUGAUCAGAUACCGUCGUUGUCUUAACCAUAAACUAUGCCGACUAGGGAUCGGGCGUANUUCUUUUUAUGACUCGCUCGGCACCUUACGAGAAAUCAAAGUUUUUGGGUUCUGGGGGGAGUAUGGUCGCAAGGCUGAAACUUAAAGGAAUUGACGGAAGGGCACCACCAGGAGUGGAGCCUGCGGCUUAAUUUGACUCAACACGGGAAAUCUCACCAGGUCCAGACACAAUAAGGAUUGACAGAUUGAGAGCUCUUUCUUGAUUUUGUGGGUGGUGGUGCAUGGCCGUUCUUAGUUGGUGGAGUGAUUUGUCUGCUUAAUUGCGAUAACGAACGAGACCUUAACCUACUAAAUAGUGCUGUUAGCUUCGGCUGAACUGGCACUUCUUAGAGGGACUAUCGAUUUCAAGUCGAUGGAAGUUUGAGGCAAAUAACAGGUCUGUGAUGCCCUUAUAAGUUCCUGGGCCCGCACGCGCGCUACACUGAACGGAGCCACCAAGUACUAUCCUUGGCCCGAAAGGUCCGGGUAAUCUCGGGAGAACUCCCGUCCUUGCUGGGGAUAGAGCAUUUGAAAUU
Molecule: ribosomal RNA, 631 nt
Filed under: Kuraishia cf. molischiana GoRoLruP352
Lineage: Eukaryota; Fungi; Ascomycota; Pichiomycetes; Pichiales; Pichiaceae
Description: SSU rRNA
Rfam family: Eukaryotic small subunit ribosomal RNA
Source: RNAcentral